UACGUAGGGGGCAAGCGUUGUCCGGAUUUAUUGGGCGUAAAGAGCGUGUAGGCGGUCAGGUAGGUCCGUUGUGAAAACUCGAGGCUCAACCUCGAGACGCCGAUGGAAACCAUCUGACUAGAGUCCGGAAGAGGAGAGUGGAAUUCCUGGUGUAGCGGUGAAAUGCGCAGAUAUCAGGAAGAACACCUACGGCGAAGGCAGCUCGCUGGGACGGUACUGACGCUGAGACGCGAAAGCGUGGGGAGCAAACAGG
RNAcentral lists this ribosomal RNA (253 nucleotides) under uncultured bacterium. RNAcentral describes it as "partial 16S ribosomal RNA". It matches the Rfam family "Bacterial small subunit ribosomal RNA", at positions 524 to 776 of the family's 1533-position model. The record is from RNAcentral.